Molecule: ribosomal RNA, 446 nt
Filed under: uncultured organism
Description: partial 16S ribosomal RNA
Rfam family: Bacterial small subunit ribosomal RNA
Source: RNAcentral
ACUCCUGCGGGAGGCAGCAGUGGGGAAUAUUGGACAAUGGGCGCAAGCCUGAUCCAGCCAUGCCGCGUGAGUGAUGAAGGCCCUAGGGUUGUAAAGCUCUUUCACCGGAGAAGAUAAUGACGGUAUCCGGAGAAGAAGCCCCGGCUAACUUCGUGCCAGCAGCCGCGGUAAUACGAAGGGGGCUAGCGUUGUUCGGAAUUACUGGGCGUAAAGCGCACGUAGGCGGAUCGAUCAGUCAGGGGUGAAAUCCCAGGGCUCAACCCUGGAACUGCCUUUGAUACUGUCGAUCUGGAGUAUGGAAGAGGUGAGUGGAAUUCCGAGUGUAGAGGUGAAAUUCGUAGAUAUUCGGAGGAACACCAGUGGCGAAGGCGGCUCACUGGUCCAUUACUGACGCUGAGGUGCGAAAGCGUGGGGAGCAAACAGGAUUAGAAACCCUUGUAGUCCCA